UACGGGGGGAGCAAGCGUUGUUCGGAUUUACUGGGCGUAAAGGGCGCGUAGGCGGCCACCGCAAGUCGGUUGUGAAAUCUCCGGGCUUAACCCGGAAAGGUCAAUCGAUACUGCGGGGCUAGAGUUCUGGAGGGGUAGCGGAAUUCCUGGUGUAGCGGUGAAAUGCGUAGAUAUCAGGAGGAACACCGGUGGCGAAGGCGGCUACCUGGACAGAAACUGACGCUGAGGCGCGAAAGCUAGGGGAGCAAACAGG
Molecule: ribosomal RNA, 253 nt
Filed under: uncultured bacterium
Lineage: Bacteria
Description: partial 16S ribosomal RNA
Rfam family: Bacterial small subunit ribosomal RNA
Source: RNAcentral